GAAAGCCUGUCUCAGUUCGGAUUGGAGUCUGCAACCCGACUCCAUGAAGCUGGAUUCGCUAGUAAUCGUGCAUCAGCCACGGCGCGGUGAAUACGUUCCCGGGCCUUGUACACACCGCCCGUCAAGCCAUGGAAGCCGGGGGUGCCUGAAGUGCGCUGCCGCAAGGAGCGCCCUAGGGUAAAACCGGUGACUGGGGCUAAGUCGUAACAAGGUAAC
This 216-nucleotide ribosomal RNA is filed under the name uncultured bacterium. RNAcentral's name for it is "partial 16S ribosomal RNA". It matches the Rfam family "Bacterial small subunit ribosomal RNA", at positions 1277 to 1500 of the family's 1533-position model. The record is from RNAcentral.